AACACAGGAUACCCAGUUAAAUUUGAAUUUCAGACAAAUAGUCAAUACAUUUUUAGUAUAAGUAUAUCCCAUGCAAUAUUUGGGAUAUACUUAUGCUAAAAAAUUAUUGGUUGUUUUUUCUGAAAUUCAACUUCAACUGAGCAUCCUGUAUUUU
Molecule: microRNA precursor, 154 nt
Filed under: Tursiops truncatus (common bottlenose dolphin)
Lineage: Eukaryota; Metazoa; Chordata; Mammalia; Artiodactyla; Delphinidae
Description: miRNA (ENSTTRG00000023105.1)
Rfam family: mir-1302 microRNA precursor family (bases 50-101)
Source: RNAcentral